This 69-nucleotide transfer RNA is filed under the name Dolichogenidea sp. n. SNS-2016. Its description in RNAcentral is "tRNA-Glu". Lineage: Eukaryota; Metazoa; Arthropoda; Insecta; Hymenoptera; Braconidae. The record is from RNAcentral.
AUUUAUAUAAUUUAAAAAAAAUAUUAUAUUUUCAUUAUAAUAAUAAUAAAUUAUUUUUAUUUAUAAAUU